AACUCAAAGGAAUUGGCGGGGGCCCGCACAAGCGGUGGAGCAUGUGGUUUAAUUCGAUGCAACGCGAAGAACCUUACCUGGUCUUGACAUCCACGGAAGUUUUCAGAGAUGAGAAUGUGCCUUCGGGAACCGUGAGACAGGUGCUGCAUGGCUGUCGUCAGCUCGUGUUGUGAAAUGUUGGGUUAAGUCCCGCAACGAGCGCAACCCUUAUCCUUUGUUGCCGGCGGUCCGGCCGGGAACUCAAAGGAGACUGUUAGUGAUAAACUGGAGGAAGGUGGGGAUGACGUCAAGUCAUCAUGGCCCUUACGACCAGGGCUACACACGUGCUACAAUGGCGCAUACAAAGAGAAGCGACCUCGCGUGAGCAAGCGGACCUCAUAAAGUGCGUCGUAGUCCGGAUUGGAGUCUGCAACUCGACUCCAUGAAGUCGGAAUCGCUAGUAAUCGUGGAUCAGAAUGCCACGGUGAAUACGUUCCCGGGCCUUGUACACACCGCCCGUC
Molecule: ribosomal RNA, 500 nt
Filed under: uncultured Gammaproteobacteria bacterium
Lineage: Bacteria; Pseudomonadati; Pseudomonadota; Gammaproteobacteria
Description: bacterial SSU rRNA
Rfam family: Bacterial small subunit ribosomal RNA
Source: RNAcentral